UACAGAGGGGGCGAGCGUUGUUCGGAAUUACUGGGCGUAAAGGGCGCGUAGGCGGCCCGCUAAGUCGAACGUGAAAUCCCCAGGCUCAACCUGGGAACUGCAUCCGAUACUGGAUGGCUUGAAUCCGGGAGAGGGAUGCAGAAUUCCAGGUGUAGCGGUGAAAUGCGUAGAUAUCUGGAGGAAUACCGGUGGCGAAGGCGGCAUCCUGGACCGGCAUUGACGCUGAUGAGCGAAAGCUAGGGGAGCAAACGGG
This 253-nucleotide ribosomal RNA is filed under the name uncultured bacterium. RNAcentral's name for it is "partial 16S ribosomal RNA". It matches the Rfam family "Bacterial small subunit ribosomal RNA", at positions 524 to 776 of the family's 1533-position model. The record is from RNAcentral.